CUCAUAUCGAGUUAGACAGACUCAGCCCCUAGUCCUCAGGUCGAGGGUGAACCAUCAGCACAGACUCUGCGUGAGAUUCAGGCCGAUAUAUCACUCCUCACAGAUCCCCUCCUGACGGGAUAUCACCCCGAUCAGUCAAGCUAUUACCAGGUGGACCCCCACUGCUGUUAUUGCCAACUUUAUGGACACACCCACUGAAUAAGCUGGAGGGUCUCAUGUAAAUUGAUGCCGAUGUAACCGACCGGUAUGUUUCUUCAGCUGUGACAAAUGUAUUUCUGAUUUGGUUUCAUAAACGGUCAAACAUG
Gymnodraco acuticeps is the source of this 305-nucleotide long non-coding RNA. RefSeq lists it as uncharacterized. The record is from RefSeq and is a predicted model, not a curated record. The transcript is spliced from 2 exons. NCBI's taxonomy places the organism in Eukaryota, Metazoa, Chordata, Actinopteri, Perciformes, Bathydraconidae.